This 484-nucleotide ribosomal RNA is filed under the name uncultured bacterium. RNAcentral's name for it is "bacterial SSU rRNA". It matches the Rfam family "Bacterial small subunit ribosomal RNA", at positions 28 to 507 of the family's 1533-position model. The record is from RNAcentral.
GAUGAACGCUAGCGGCAGGCUUAACACAUGCAAGUCAGGGGCAUCGAGAGUAGCAAUACUUGUCGGCGACCGGCGCAAGGGUGCGUAACACGUGAGCAACAUACCCGUUUCAGGAGGAUUAACCGGAGGAAAACUCUGCCUAAUACUCCAUGACAUCAUCAAACGGCAUCGUUUGAUGAUUAAAGAUUUAUCGGAAACGGCUUGGCUCGCGGGACAUUAGCUUGUUGGUGAGGUAACGGCUCACCAAGGCUACGAUGUCUAGGGGUUCUGAGAGGAAGGUCCCCCACACUGGAACUGAGACACGGUCCAGACUCCUACGGGAGGCAGCAGUGAGGAAUAUUGGACAAUGGUCGGAAGACUGAUCCAGCCAUGCCGCGUGAAGGUUACUGUCCUAUGGAUAUUAAACUUCUUUUGUAUGAGAGCAAUAAGGUGCACGCGUGCACCGAUGAGAGUAUCAUACGAAUAAGCAUCGGCUAACUCCGUG